Long non-coding RNA from Myotis lucifugus (little brown bat), 916 nucleotides. RefSeq lists it as uncharacterized. The record is from RefSeq and is a predicted model, not a curated record. The transcript is spliced from 3 exons. Lineage: Eukaryota; Metazoa; Chordata; Mammalia; Chiroptera; Vespertilionidae.
UUUUUGCGUCUCCAGCACAGGCGAAGCACUGUAAAAUAUAGAUGGAAGUUUACUAUGUAUUUUGCAAUCAUUUAACUGAAGCUGAAAUGACAAAGAAGUUUACUGUUAUUUCAAAAGCAAAUCGCUCACCAUGUAAAGAACAAUGAAGGGCAGGUGUGUCCAGCUCCUUUUACAGAUGAGGAAACUGAGGCUUUGGAACGUGUCAGAGGUCACUCGGCUGGUUUCUCCAGAAGCAGACACAAGGAUUCUAGGGAAACUGGAGGUGAUCCCCAAAACAGAGGUAAGAAUGGGAGAAAGUAAGACACGAAAAGGAAAGAAGCCAAGGAAGUGGGUCGACUGGAGCUUAACCCUCUUGGGGAGUCUGGAGGAACACUGUAGAACAGUCAUCAGGACUGUUGUUGGGUGAUAUUAAACAUCGGUGCUUCUGACCUGGGGCACUCCAGCAGCCAGAGGGCCUUCGGCAAGGAGAGGAAGUUUGGCAGAAAUGCUCUGGCAGGAUAGACAGAGAGGAUAUAGGCGGCACCAACAGUGUCUGCCAAACCUGGAAUUUUGACAUGUCACUGGUAAUUUUCCAGCAUUCCACUGAAACCCAGGAAAAAAUAAUAAUCACUUGUCAAGGGACUGGAUUCUUUCUGGCUCCACUAAAAAUGGUUUAAGCACCAUGAAAAUACUUUAUUUAUAGUUUCUAUGAUUGUAGAGCUUCUACAGGUUGCCACCUUAUUAAAGGUGAUAAGUAAAAAUCCACCUUUUUAGUAUUAUGCUGUUAUAAGUAUUACUAUUAAAAUAUAUUGCCCUAAGUUUAUUUUCUAACUUAUUAAUAACUUGAUGGUAACGACUUAUCUGUACUUAGUGUAAUGCUUAAAUUUUAAUCCAAAAUGUCUCUUUCAUAAUUUGUCACAAAGUUUGGUAAAUUACA